Molecule: ribosomal RNA, 309 nt
Filed under: uncultured bacterium
Lineage: Bacteria
Description: partial 16S ribosomal RNA
Rfam family: Bacterial small subunit ribosomal RNA
Source: RNAcentral
AGAGACAGCAGCCGCCGCGGGAAUACGAAGGGUGCAAGCGUUAAUCGGAAUUACUGGGCGUAAAGCGUGCGUAGGCGGCGAGUUAAGUCUGCUGUGAAAUCCCCGGGCUCAACCUGGGAAUGGCAGUGGAUACUGGCUCGCUAGAGUGUGUCAGAGGAUGGUGGAAUUCCCGGUGUAGCGGUGAAAUGCGUAGAGAUCGGGAGGAACAUCAGUGGCGAAGGCGGCCAUCUGGGACAACACUGACGCUGAGGCACGAAAGCGUGGGGAGCAAACAGGAUUAGAUACCCGGGUAGUCCCUGUCUCUUAUAC